RNAcentral lists this small RNA (1013 nucleotides) under Pongo abelii (Sumatran orangutan). Its description in RNAcentral is "processed transcript". Lineage: Eukaryota; Metazoa; Chordata; Mammalia; Primates; Hominidae. The record is from RNAcentral.
GUCUGAAAUGCAGAAGACAGAAGAUGAGCUCUGGCUCUUCACCUGCAUGGCUGGUGGCAGUGUGGCCUCAGUCUUCUGGGGCUUGAGGAGCUCUGACACUGGUCAGGUCAGAGGCACCCACUCACCCACUGCUGCCCAUAGCUGUCUUCCACAUCGUUGAUCCAGCGGUCAUCCCAGUCCACUCGGAGGCCCAACAGGUGAAGUGGGAGGAAGCCGUUCUCAGCCAGAAUCACAAACUUGCCCUCGCCCUCCGUGUACCCAUCGAUCUUCAGACCUGGUACUUGUUGGUGGAGUUGAAGGGUAUCUCGACGAUUUUGGCGUAUCUUUCUCUCAUCUCCUUCACGGAACCACAGCACAGCUCUAUGCACUUUAAGAGUGCUGACUCAGAGGCAUCUCCUGCAACUGCCCGCUGUGAACAGAGACAUCAUCUGUAAAUUAUCUCCAAAAAAUUUCACUGAGGCAUCACUAAAAAACAGGAAAAAUAACAAGACACAUUCCAAUCUUGUCAGAGGUAGCAGAGGACGGGCAAGAAGGAAGCAGUGGUGUUAAGUGGGACAGGCGUCCCUCUAGCCCAGACCACUGCUGUUCACAGUGCUUCAGACUCAAACCCCAACGUCCUUCCCCGCCCCACAGCAGCUUCUAGUGAAAGAAGGGUGUGGGAAGGUGUCACCUUCCCUAGAAGAGGUAUAACACACCCUUCCAACCUACUGCAGUCUAUUUCUAUCUUCCCCUGGCCUACUGAAAAGUCUCAAAGCCAAUGCUAUUCCCAACUACCUAUUUCUGGUGACUUAUCUGAAAAUACCAAGUGAGAAACUAAACAUUUAUAGCACCUUUCAUUACUGUAGAAUUCAUACGAAAAUGCUUAAGGUCUCAGGACUGGGGACAAACUGCCUGUGUCAAGGGCAAAGUAGAAGACUGUACAUUAUAAUCAUAACUGCGCAAAAUUAACUGGGCCUGAAGGAUGUGAACUGAAAGCUAUUACCAACUCCAACAGUAAUAAAAUCGAACCACGU